AAGCCUGUCUUCGCCAGCCUACCCUCUGACCUCCUGUGAGCCUGGGCCGGCCCUACUGACACACACAGACUUUGGGGAAGACUGCCAGGCCUAGGCAAUCUCCCCCCACGCAGAGUGAGACGGGGGACAAGAGACUGAAGCCCAUUUGGUGAACGAUGGAGGGUUGCUGGCUGAGGGGAUCUCCCCCCUCCAGUGAGUGGAGACCUGAGGCAGGUCUGGCUGAGGAAGUCUCUCCACAAGUGACUGAAGUUUAGCACAGGCCCGCCUCGGGGGAACGAGAGUGGGGCACUAGGGUCAGCUCUGCCUGCGAGGCUCCCCUUUAGCGAAUGACACUUGUGGGGGCAGGUCUGGGGCAGCCCUGGUCUGGACUGGCCACGGGCAGAGCGAGAGGUAAGUGUGUGUGAGGCAGGCGCAAGCUCUGCUGUUUAUGCUGAGCUCCUGCCCUUCCCUCACAUCCCCUCCCUGUGUGUGCUGCCCACACACCGCCCCGCAUUCCCCGCCUGGCUUCAGCCCCUCCGGCGAUGGCUGAGUGAGGGAGGGGAGGCGGCGGCUGGGGUUUCAUUCGACGCCCACCAGGGGCUGAGCGAGCCUCCUUCAGUGCGCAAACUCGGGGCACCACAUAAAAGCUGGGCUGGCAGCUCUUUAUCUUGCCUCGAUGGAGCCGCCACAAGCGGGUGGCCGGAGAAGCCGCUAGCAGCGGCGCGGUAGCCUAGCCUAGCCUAGCCUAGCCUAGCCUUCCUCCUACUUUGGGCACAGAGGGGCUGUAAAGAACCGCUGCUGCGGCAGGAAGGAGCCGAGAGGAAGGGAUCUGGAUGCAGAGGAGGCGGCUGUAACGAGGCAUCGAGUAUGGGGGGAGGGAGUGAUUAAACGUCUUGUGGCCCUGGCGGAGUCUGAGGGUAUUUUUUCCUGUCUAACUCGUGUGUGUGUGUGUGUGUCUCUCUCUCUCUCUUUCCCUCUCUUUCUCUCCAUAGGGCGCUUGGUUGGGCUGCUCGCUCGGGUUCUGCCUGUUGUUGCGCGAAAUGGCGGCUGCUAUCUUGCAAUCAUCUGAAAGGACUCACCCUUUAGUGCCAAUCUCCUGAAUGUUCAGCAGUCCCAGAAUUUAUGGCACAUAACAUAGGAUUAGAUAGCAGCAAUGUUCUAUUUUUUUUUUUCCCCCAUGUGUGGAAUAAAUUAUGUGCACCAAGGAGUACAAGCCAAGAUCAUGGGUUUUGUUUCUGGACCGAUGUCAAUGAACAUACAAGAACAGCUCUAGGAUCAUGGUGCCCAGUCCAGCUCCCAUUGAACUCAAAGGGAAUUUGGACUUGAUUAGUUAAAUGUGCACCUUCUGCAACAGCUGAAGCACAGCAUUGCUUACUUUACAUUCUAAGAUAAGUUAUUUUCAUUUGGUCAGUAGAUUGGGAGGUUUGUGUGUGUGUGUGUGUGUGUGUGUGUGUGUUUUAAUUUAGAAUUUGGAGGAAACUUACACAAACUCAAUUCUUGGCAGAUUGUACAGGCCAGCAGUAAUUGCUAAUAUAUCGGGAAUCAUUGUCAUAUUUUUAAGCAGGUUUCGCAUUCAGGGAGUCUCAUCUCCUCCCACUUAUGUUUGUAUAAAUCAACAGUAAGUGAGAGGAGAAUGAGACCUUCUAACUGAGAUUUCAGAACAUUCAAUAAAAUUAUCUUCUAUGAUUAUUUCAUGCCGUUUGAUGCUGAAGCUUGUUUUGAAGGGUACUGAUUCCAAAAUUAAUUUCAUAUGAAAAGCUAUUUAAAACUUCACCCUGAAUUCAUAAUUAAUUAUAUUUGCUUCCUAAUAUAUCUUUUCACCAUACUCCACCCCUAUCAGAGCUUAAAAAGUUUAGAUACUUGCUGUAUCAGCAAAAAGAAAAGGAGUACUUGAGGCACCUUAGAGACUAACAAAUUUAUUUGAGCAUAAGCUUUUGUGAGCUACAACUCACUUCAUCGGAUGCAUUCAGUGGGUUUCCUACAUUUAAUGUAGUUUAAUUUUGUUUUGUUUUUUAAUGUUCAGCAUCCUUUGGGAUUUAAAUGUCUGAUUGUUACGCUGAAGUUGAAGGGGAAAUAAUGACUUGCAUUUUUACAAGAUAAAUGUAAUUACUGCAUUUUGUAAUCAUUAGGUAGGACAUGAUAUUAAAUUAAUAGAUUGAGAGUCUGUUGCAGUUAAUAACAGCAACGGUUGAAUGCAUGUUAUUACCUAAUUUUUAUUUGUUUUGUUUUUGAUUUACAGAUGAUGCAUUAUAAAAAAAAAAAAAAAAUCCUACAGUAAAGAAACUUUUUUUCUUUCAGAAAA
Dermochelys coriacea (leatherback sea turtle) is the source of this 2281-nucleotide long non-coding RNA. RefSeq lists it as uncharacterized. The record is from RefSeq and is a predicted model, not a curated record. The transcript is spliced from 3 exons. NCBI's taxonomy places the organism in Eukaryota, Metazoa, Chordata, Testudines, Dermochelyidae.